Long non-coding RNA from Aricia agestis (brown argus), 92 nucleotides. RefSeq lists it as uncharacterized. Lineage: Eukaryota; Metazoa; Arthropoda; Insecta; Lepidoptera; Lycaenidae. The transcript has 3 exons. The record is from RefSeq and is a predicted model, not a curated record.
UUUAAAGCCAUGUCGGAAGUAAACAAAAUCAAGUAAAAGUUUGGUAUUUGACGUCCAUGUGUGGAAGGUCGUGUUUGUCUUUAUUUGCUUGU